GAUGAACGCUGGCGGCGUGCCUAAUACAUGCAAGUCGAGCGAACGGACGAGAAGCUUGCUUCUCUGAUGUUAGCGGCGGACGGGUGAGUAACACGUGGAUAACCUACCUAUAAGACUGGGAUAACUUCGGGAAACCGGAGCUAAUACCGGAUGAUAUUUUGAACCGCAUGGUUCAAAAGUGAAAGACGGUCUUGCUGUCACUUAUAGAUGGAUCCGCGCUGCAUUAGCUAGUUGGUAAGGUAACGGCUUACCAAGGCAACGAUGCAUAGCCGACCUGAGAGGGUGAUCGGCCCCACUGGAACUGAGACACGGUCCAGACUCCUACGGGAGGCAGCAGUAGGGAAUCUUCCGCAAUGGGCGAAAGCCUGACGGAGCAACGCCGCGUGAGUGAUGAAGGUCUUCGGAUCGUAAAACUCUGUUAUUAGGGAAGAACAUAUGUGUAAGUAACUGCGCACAUCUUGACGGUACCUAAUCAGAAAGCCACGGCUAACUACGUG
This 497-nucleotide ribosomal RNA is filed under the name uncultured bacterium. Its description in RNAcentral is "partial 16S ribosomal RNA". It matches the Rfam family "Bacterial small subunit ribosomal RNA", at positions 28 to 507 of the family's 1533-position model. The record is from RNAcentral.